GGCGAACGCUGGCGGCGUGCUUAACACAUGCAAGUCGAACGGAAAGGCCCUGCUUUUGUGGGGUGCUCGAGUGGCGAACGGGUGAGUAACACGUGGGUAACCUGCCCUUGACUUUGGGAUAACUUCAGGAAACUGGGGCUAAUACCGGAUAGGAGCUCCUGCUGCAUGGUGGGGGUUGGAAAGUUUCGGCGGUUGGGGAUGGACUCGCGGCUUAUCAGCUUGUUGGUGGGGUAGUGGCUUACCAAGGCUUUGACGGGUAGCCGGCCUGAGAGGGUGACCGGCCACAUUGGGAUUGAGAUACGGCCCAGACUCCUACGGGAGGCAGCAGUGGGGAAUAUUGCACAAUGGGCGGAAGCCUGAUGCAGCAACGCCGCGUGCGGGAUGACGGCCUUCGGGUUGUAAACCGCUUUCGCCUGUGACGAAGCGUGAGUGACGGUAAUGGGUAAAGAAGCACCGGCUAACUACGUG
Molecule: ribosomal RNA, 468 nt
Filed under: uncultured bacterium
Lineage: Bacteria
Description: partial 16S ribosomal RNA
Rfam family: Bacterial small subunit ribosomal RNA
Source: RNAcentral